Molecule: long non-coding RNA, 244 nt
Filed under: Hordeum vulgare
Lineage: Eukaryota; Viridiplantae; Streptophyta; Magnoliopsida; Poales; Poaceae
Description: long non-coding RNA (HVUL_LNC018713)
Source: RNAcentral
AUGAUGAUGAUGAAGAUGAUGAUGAAGAAGAAGAAGAAGAAUAAGAAGAAGAAGAUGAUGAUGAUGAUGAUGAAGAUGAUGAUGAUGAUGAUGAUGAUGAUGAUGAUGAUGAUGAUGAAGAAGAAGAAGAAGAAGAAGAAGAAGAUGAAGACUAGAAUAAGAAGAAGAAUAACGAUAAUACGAAGACGAAGAAUAAGACUAGAAUAAGAAGAAGACUAGAAUAAGAAGAAGAAGAAGAAGAAGA